RNAcentral lists this ribosomal RNA (495 nucleotides) under uncultured bacterium. RNAcentral describes it as "partial 16S ribosomal RNA". It matches the Rfam family "Bacterial small subunit ribosomal RNA", at positions 28 to 507 of the family's 1533-position model. The record is from RNAcentral.
GACGAACGCUGGCGGCGUGCCUAAUACAUGCAAGUAGAACGCUGAAGGAGGAGCUUGCUCUUCUGGAUGAGUUGCGAACGGGUGAGUAACGCGUAGGUAACCUGCCUGGUAGCGGGGGAUAACUAUUGGAAACGAUAGCUAAUACCGCAUAAUAGUAGAUGUUGCAUGAUAUUUACUUAAAAGGUGCAAUUGCACCACUACCAGAUGGACCUGCGUUGUAUUAGCUAGUUGGUGGGGUAACGGCUCACCAAGGCGACGAUACAUAGCCGACCUGAGAGGGUGAUCGGCCACACUGGGACUGAGACACGGCCCAGACUCCUACGGGAGGCAGCAGUAGGGAAUCUUCGGCAAUGGACGAGAGUCUGACCGAGCAACGCCGCGUGAGUGAAGAAGGUUUUCGGAUCGUAAAGCUCUGUUGUAAGAGAAGAACGAGUGUGAGAGUGGAAAGUUCACACUGUGACGGUAUCUUACCAGAAAGGGACGGCUAACUACGUG